GACAGGGUCAUGUUUACCACUGUGUUACAUCGCCUUUCCUUUUAACAACGUUUAAUAAAUGUUUGGGAACUGAGGACACUAAUUGUUGAACCUUUGUAGGUGGAAUUCUUUCCCAUCCUUGCUUGAUGUGCAGCUUCAGCUAUUCAACAGUCCGGGGUCUCCGUUGUUGUAUUUUACGCUUCAUAAUGCGGCACACAUUUUCAAUGGGAGACAGGUCUGGACUACAGGCAGGCCAGUCUCGUACCCGCACUCCUUAACUACGAAGCCAAGCUGUUGUAACGUGCAGAAUGUGGUUUGGCAUUGUCUUGCUGAAAUAAGCAGGGGUAUCCAUGAAAAAGACGUUGCUUGCAUGGCAGCAUAUGUUUCUCCAAAACCCGUAUGUACCUUUCAGCAUUAAUGGUGCCAUCACAGAGGUGUAAGUUACCCAUGCCAUUGGCACUAAGACAGCCCCAUACCAUCACAGAGGUGUAAGUUACCCAUGCCAUUGGCACUAAGACAGCCCCAUACCAUCACAGAUGUAUAGGUUACCCAUGCCAUUGGCACUAAGACGGCCCCAUACCAUCACAGAUGUGUAAGUUACCCAUGCCAUUGGCACUAAGACAGCCCCAUACCAUCACAGAGGUGUAAGUUACCCAUGCCAUUGGCACUAAGACAGCCCCAUACCAUCACAGAGGUGUAAGUUACCCAUGCCAUUGGCACUAAGACAGCCCCAUACCAUCACAGAUGUAUAGGUUACCCAUGCCAUUGGCACUAAGACGGCCCCAUACCAUCACAGAUGUGUAAGUUACCCAUGCCAUUGGCACUAAGACAGCCCCAUACCAUCACAGAGGUGUAAGUUACCCAUGCCAUUGGCACUAAGACAGCCCCAUACCAUCACAGAGGUGUAAGUUACCCAUGCCAUUGGCACUAAGACAGCCCCAUACCAUCACAGAGGUGUAAGUUACCCAUGCCAUUGGCACUAAGACAGCCCCAUACCAUCACAGAUGUAAGUUACCCAUGCCAUUGGCACUAAGACGGCCCCAUACCAUCACAGAUGUAUAGGUUACCCAUGCCAUUGGCACUAAGACAGCCCCAUACCAUCACAGAUGUAUAGGUUACCCAUGCCAUUGGCACUAAGACGGCCCCAUACCAUCACAGAUGCUGACUUUUGAACUUUGAGUCCAUAACAGUCCGGAUGGUUCUUUUCCUCUUUGGCCUGGAGGACACGACAUCCACAAUUUCCAAAAACAAUUUGAAAUGUGGACUCGUCAGACCACAGAACACUUUUCCACUUUACAUCAGUCCAUCUUAGAUGAGCUCGGGCCCAGAGAAGCCAGCAGCGUUUCUGGGUGUUGUUGAUAAAUGGCUUUUGCUUUGCAUAGUAGUUUUAAGUUGCACUUACGGAUGUAGCACCGAACUGUAUUUACUGACAGUGGUUUUCUGAGGUGUUCCUGAGCCCAUGUGCUGAUGUCUUACACACUGAUGUCAGUGUUUGAUGCAGCGCUGCCUGAGGGAUGGAAGGUCACGGGCAUUCAGUGUUGGUUUUCGGCCUUGCCGCUUACAUGCAGUGAUUUCUCCAGAUUCUCUGAACUUUUUGAUAUUAUGGACCGUAGAUGAUGAAAUCCCUAAAUUCCUUGCAAUUGUAUGUUGAGGAACAUUGUCCUUAAACUGUUUGACUAUUUUCUCAUGCACUUGUUCACAAAGAGGUGAACCUCGCCCCAUCUUUGCUUGUGAAUGACUGAGCAAUUCAGGGAAGCUCCUUUUAUACCCAAGCAUGGCACACACCUUUCCCAAUUAGCCUGUUCACCUGUGUUAUGUCCCAAACAGGUGUUUGAUGAGCAUUCCUCAACUUUCUCAGUCUUUUUUGCCAC
Acanthochromis polyacanthus (spiny chromis) is the source of this 1850-nucleotide long non-coding RNA. RefSeq lists it as uncharacterized. The transcript is spliced from 3 exons. Lineage: Eukaryota; Metazoa; Chordata; Actinopteri; Pomacentridae. The record is from RefSeq and is a predicted model, not a curated record.